GGACCAUUGUGGAGGCUGCGCAGGGUCUGUACUCAGUGUGGGAGCUGGAGGAGUGCACGGAGGAGCCUCAUCAGUCCUGUGUCCUCUUGUCCUGAACCCUGGAGGAGUCCUAGUCUGCAGGUGGGCAGCAGGGAGCUGACUGUGCCUUACUUGCAGGCAUCCCUGAUGCUCAGCUGGGAUGGAGGAAGUGCCCAGGCUAAGCAGCACCCACAGCUGAUGUGAAAAGCAGGCCUGAGUGGGGCUCCCUGUGUGCAUCAGAGCCUGCUGUUCAGAGCCUUGCCUGACUCACUGCUCCUGUCUUUAGAAAGCAUUCUUGAAGUGUGGAGUUCCCACCAUGAGAGCAUGAUCUACACUGCCUGGAGGGCCACCGAGCCCAUGGCCCAUGGCAGCAGUGCAGCAGCACUGUGCAGACCACCAUGAGGGAAAGACCUCUGGAUCUGCUCAGAGAAGAAAGCAGCAUUCUGUGUUACUCUGAGAGCAGACCUGAGCAGCGGAUGUUGAGCAGCUCCAGGGCGUGAGGUGCAGACCUGCAGGGUCCCAGGCACCGGGCAGGCUCUCUGUGCCCUGCUGCCUUCCUCCUCACACAAACCCAGCGUGGCUGCUCCAGUCCUCAGCUUCCUGAGCCUGAAAAUGGGCUCACAGCUUCUCAGAAUUCUGCUUGGAACCUCCAUGCCCAGCACAGCCCAGAUGCAGUCAUGGGAAGAAGAGAGUGCCUUUGUGUGGCCUGAAGAAGAA
Molecule: long non-coding RNA, 735 nt
Filed under: Fukomys damarensis (Damara mole-rat)
Lineage: Eukaryota; Metazoa; Chordata; Mammalia; Rodentia; Bathyergidae
Description: lncRNA (ENSFDAG00000022915.1)
Source: RNAcentral